This is an RNA transcript of Glycine soja, 2013 nucleotides long. It is a transcript of the gene named protein MID1-COMPLEMENTING ACTIVITY 1-like, with no coding region annotated. The record is from RefSeq and is a predicted model, not a curated record. Lineage: Eukaryota; Viridiplantae; Streptophyta; Magnoliopsida; Fabales; Fabaceae. The transcript is spliced from 9 exons.
UGCGGCCAAGCUCCACACUGCAGAAAACAGCACCGAACCGAAGCUGUGAGCGAUAAGAGCAAGAGAGAGAGAGACACAAAGAGUGAUUCAGAGGGACGAAGAGCUCCUUCGCGCAAAGCAAUGCCUGUCAUCACCUGAAUUCCAUGCUCCUUUUCCGUUUCUCCGCAUUGCUCUCGUCUCUUUCACUACUCACGACCCUUCCAUAACUAAAAUAAAUAAAUAUAAAGCCCCGUCGCUGCAUUUUUUUGUCUAGCGUUUGAUGCCAUUGUUUUUCCUUUGCUUGUUUUGUGUCUUUGUCUGAAUAACCAAGAUCUUCAAGGGCAAUGCUAUCUCUGAGAAACGUUUUUCUGAGGAGCGCUUGAUCCGGCGUGAAAUAUUCUUUGUUGAUAAUUUUCGUCUUGGACUGUGCGAGUGGAGCAGCCUGUGUUACUAUUAAAGGCAUAUUCUCUUGCAAGGUUGAUUUGCAGAGAGCAUGGCGUCUUGGGAUCAAAUGGGGGAACUUGCAAAUGUGGCACAGUUGACUGGUGUAGAUGCUGUGCGGCUGAUUGGGAUGAUUGUGAGAGCUGCAAGCACUGCACGGAUGCAUAAGAAAAACUGCAGGCAGUUUGCACAGCAUCUGAAGUUGAUUGGGAACUUGCUGGAGCAGCUCAAGAUCUCGGAGCUGAAGAAGUACCCGGAAACUAGGGAGCCUCUGGAGCAGCUGGAAGAUGCUCUCAGAAGAUCUUAUAUAUUGGUCAAUAGCUGUCAGGACAGGAGCUACCUUUAUUUGCUCGCUAUGGGCUGGAACAUUGUUUAUCAGUUCAGGAAGGCUCAAAACGAAAUCGAUAGAUACCUGCGUCUGGUUCCUCUCAUUACUCUUGUGGACAAUUCUCGAGUCAGGGAGAGACUUGAAGUUAUCGAAAUGGAUCAACGUGAAUACACAUUGGAUGAUGAGGACCAAAAGGCACAAACAGUUAUUUUUAAACCUGAGCCUGACAAGGAUGACACUGCUGUGUUGAAGAAAACACUAUCAUGUUCUUACCCCAACUGUUCUUUCACUGAAGCACUUAAAAAAGAAAAUGAAAAGCUUAAACUAGAACUACAACGGUCACAAGCAAAUUUGGAUAUGAAUCAGUGUGAAGUCAUUCAACGUUUACUAGAUGUCACAGAAGUUGCAGCUUAUUCUGUUCCAGCCAAGUGUUCACCGGAGAAAAGUCACAAGAAAGAGGAAUACAAUUACUCUGAUGUCAACAGUGACCAGGACCAUUCAUCUGAUGAAAAAUACCAUGCAAAAAUUGACAAGCAUUCACCAUCAAGAUAUUCAGUUGCGCAAAAGGAUCUGGCAUCAACUGGAGGUUCAUAUCAGCAGGAAGAUUGGCACACUGAUUUACUCGCUUGUUGUUCUGAACCUUCUCUUUGUAUGAAGACAUUCUUCUAUCCUUGUGGAACAUUUUCAAAGAUUGCUUCUGUUGCAAGAAACAGGCCCAUAUUUUUGUGUUUUUUCAGCAUCUGGAGAAGCAUGUAAUGACUUGAUGGCAUAUUCGUUAAUUUUGUCUUGUUGUUGCUAUACUUGCUGCGUAAGGAGGAAGCUUCGGAAGAUGUUGAACAUCACAGGGGGCUUUAUUGAUGAUUUCCUCUCUCAUUUGAUGUGUUGCUGCUGUGCCCUUGUGCAAGAAUGGAGAGAAGUGGAGAUCCGUGGGCUUACUGGUUCUGAGAAGACCAAAACAAGCCCUCCACCCUCUCAGUACAUGGAAUCUUAACUAACAAAUGAGAUUAUCAUUUGGUUGUUCGGGAUUCAAGGUUCCUUGAAGACCUUAUUAAAAUAGAGGCUAUUUGGCUAUAUUAGAAUUCUCACAGGAAGGCAGGAAUUAUGUAUUUUUAUUCUCACCGCACCUGGCCUCGUUUUAACUAUGUAUAGUAAUUUUAUUUUGUUGUACUCGAAAAAAAUUGCUAUUAGAUAUAGUUGAUGGUGUAUCAUAAACCUUUUUUUUUUUGUUUCCCUGGUUUAAUAUAGUCUGAAUUAAUUUCUUGUCA